This 460-nucleotide ribosomal RNA is filed under the name uncultured bacterium. RNAcentral's name for it is "partial 16S ribosomal RNA". It matches the Rfam family "Bacterial small subunit ribosomal RNA", at positions 338 to 795 of the family's 1533-position model. The record is from RNAcentral.
CCUACGGGUGGCAGCAGUGAGGAAUAUUGGUCAAUGGACGAGAGUCUGAACCAGCCAAGUAGCGUGAAGGAUGACUGCCCUACGGGUUGUAAACUUCUUUUAUAUGGGAAUAAAAUGUUCCACGUGUGGGAUUUUGUAUGUACCAUAUGAAUAAGGAUCGGCUAACUCCGUGCCAGCAGCCGCGGUAAUACGGAGGAUCCGAGCGUUAUCCGGAUUUAUUGGGUUUAAAGGGAGCGUAGAUGGAUUGUUAAGUCAGUUGUGAAAGUUUGCGGCUCAACCGUAAAAUUGCAGUUGAAACUGGCAGUCGUGAGUACAGUAGAGGUAGGCGGAAUUCGUGGUGUAGCGGUGAAAUGCUUAGAUAUCACGAAGAACUCCGAUUGCGAAGGCAGCUCACUGGACUGCAACUGACACUGAGGCUCGAAAGUGUGGGUAUCAAACAGGAUUAGAUACCCGAGUAGUC